AGAACGAACGCUGGCGGCGCGUUUAAGCAUGCAAGUCGAGCGGCAAGGGCCUUCGGGCCCCUAGAGCGGCGGACGGGUGAGUAACACGUGGACAAUCUGCCCCCCGGCCCGGGAUAGCCCAGGGAAACCUGGAUUAAUACCGGAUGAGACGGGACCCGCGAUGGCGGGACCCGGGAAAGGCGCUGCGGCGCCGCCGGGGGAUGAGUCUGCGUCCCAUUAGCUAGACGGCGGGGUAACGGCCCACCGUGGCGACGAUGGGUAGCCGGCCUGAGAGGGUGGACGGCCACAUUGGAACUGAGACACGGUCCAGACUCCUACGGGAGGCAGCAGCUAAGAAUCUUCCGCAAUGGGCGAAAGCCUGACGGAGCCGACGCCGCGUGAACGAAGAAGGCCGUGAGGUUGUAAAGUUCUUUUCGGGAGGGGGAACAACCGUGGCAGGGAAUGGCCGCGGGAUGACGUGAAUCCCGGAAUAAGCCCCGGCUAACUACGUGCCAGCCGCAGC
RNAcentral lists this ribosomal RNA (502 nucleotides) under uncultured bacterium. Its description in RNAcentral is "bacterial SSU rRNA". It matches the Rfam family "Bacterial small subunit ribosomal RNA", at positions 26 to 518 of the family's 1533-position model. The record is from RNAcentral.